RNA transcript from Prosopis cineraria, 2723 nucleotides. It is a transcript of the gene named pentatricopeptide repeat-containing protein At5g13770, chloroplastic, with no coding region annotated. The transcript has 3 exons. NCBI's taxonomy places the organism in Eukaryota, Viridiplantae, Streptophyta, Magnoliopsida, Fabales, Fabaceae. The record is from RefSeq and is a predicted model, not a curated record.
UUCUUCUCUUCAAAUCUUAUCUCUUUGACAAUAAUGGCCAUUUCCAGUUCUGCAGACUGGUCUUUCGCUUCAACCACUAACUGCUGUAGAAGAAGAACCCACCAGCUUCUUCAUACUCUUAUACCCACUUCUCAAUUCGCUUCCUUUUCCUCUAUUCCUCACUCAAACCCUCGAUUCUUCACUGUCAGGUUCUCAGACUCGCCCACUCCGAUCUUGGAAGAAGAAGCAUCUCAACCCAAUGUUCCUGUAAUCCAAUUCGAUGUGAAGUUUUCAGAUGAUGCGUUGCAGUACUCAAAGCCUUCUGGUGCUGAGAAUCUGAAUGAGUUCGUGUGUGGGUUGUUUGAAGAUCCUCAAACGGAGGAACUUGGGUAUGAAUACUAUCAAAGAUUGAAAGAGAGGCCUGAGUUUAGGCCAGAGGCAUCAACUUUAGAGCUUGUGAUCAGGUAUUUGUUGAGAUUAAAGAAAUGGAGCUCCGUUUUAUCUGUUUGUGAAGACUUGAAGAUUUAUUCUGUGUUGCCUGAUGUAGCUACAUGUUCUAGAUUGAUUAGUAAAUGCAUAAGAUCUAGAAAGUUCAGGAUUUCUGAGGCAUAUCUUGAUGUUUUCCAAGAUUCUGAAAGUACUGAAGUUGCUGUUUCAGCUUUUGAUUCUGCCAUGAGAAGCUACAAUAAGCUUCAUAUGCAUAGGAGCACCGUUUUAGUCUUUGAAAGAAUGAAAUCCACCAAAUUAGCUGUUUCAGAUUAUUCCAGAUGCUAUCUACACGUUAUGGAGGCUUACAUGAAACUUGGAGAUAGUGACAAAGUGGUCCAGUUGUUUCAAGAACUUGAAAAAGAACAGUCAUUAGUUACUUCAAAAAGAUAUUUAUCUCUGAUAUAUGGGAUUUUAUGUCAGUCAUUGGGCCAAUCAGGACGAGCAUUCGAAGCUCUAAAGUACUUCAGGGACAUGAAUAAAAGAGGGGUUGUUAAAGAUUCUAUAUAUUCUACAUUAAUAUGCUCCUUUGCGAGUUUGCGCGAGGUAGAUGUAGCCGAGGAGCUUCUGAGAGAAGCAAAGAACAAAACAAUGAUAAAAGAUCCAGAGGUGUACUUCAAGCUUGUGUUGAUGCAUGUUGAAGAAGGUUUAAUGGAGAAGACUCUCGAAGUAGUUAAAACAAUGGAGAAUGCAGGUGUCAAGGUUACUGACUGUAUACUAUGUGCUAUUAUCAAUGGCUUCAGCAAGAGGAGAGGAUUUAGAGCCGCUAUCAGUGUUUAUGAGCAACUAGUUUCCAAGGGUCAUGAACCAGGACAGGUCACCUAUGCAUCAAUCAUAAAAGCUUACUGUCGUCUUGGCCAAUAUACUGAAGCGGAGAAGGUUUUUUCAGAAAUGGAGCAAAAGGGGUUUGAUAAAUGUAUUGUGGCCUAUUCAAGCAUGGUUGUCAUGUAUGGAAGAACAGGGAAGCUAAGAGAAGCCACGAGGCUUGUGGCCAAGAUGAAAGAAAGAGGGUGUAAUCCAAAUGUGUGGAUCUACAAUUCUUUGAUAGACAUGCAUGGGAAGGCUAAGGAUUUGAGGCAGGUUGAGAAGCUAUGGAACGAAAUGAAGCGAAGGAAAGUCGCUCCGGAUAAGGUUACUUAUACGAGCAUCAUUGUGGCAUAUAGCAAGGCAAGAGAGUUUGAAAAAUGCAUCAAGUUUUUCGAGGAGUACAGAAUGAAUGGUGGAGAGAUUGAUAGGGCCAUGGCAGGCAUGAUGGUGAUGGUUUUCUCAAAGGUUGGUCAAGUUGAUGAACUCGUAAAACUAUUAAGGGACAUGAAGAUGGAAGGAACAGGAUUGGAUGAAAGGUUGUAUCAGUCUUCUUUGAAGGCUUUAACUGAAGCUGGAAUGCAAGUACAUGCCAGGUGGUUGCAAGAGAGAUUCAAAGUAACAUGAGGUUGGAUUCCUGAUUUCCUUCCAAUAAUUGAAAGAUCCAAUGAAGAGAAAGAUGGACAGACUAGUGAGAUCCACCUCUCAGGUAGGUCCCUACACUUUCUUUGUUCUAUCUCUUGAAUACUCCUUCCAAUCACUAGAGGGGAUCCAGAUUCAGUCAAAAGUGAAGAUGGAAACACAAGAAAUUCUCUGGUAUGUAUAAAUUGCAAUGUCUACCUCCCUUGGGAGUUGAAGCUUCCAAAUCAAACCAUGUGUUUGAGCAUCCCUUGUGAUUUAAGUGAAGGCUAGCCAAAGCUAGAGUAAAAGGUUACACCAAAAGCAGCAGCCAAGGGAUCAGUGGGACAAACCGCCGCUAUAGUCUAGCAUUAGCAAAUGUUCACAUUCUUUAGGGGGAUCAUGAAGUAACAUCAGCUCACUUGAAGAAUUUUGAGCCAUGUGAGCCAAAAAAUCAAUACAAACCAUCACCUCACAUGGGGCAUAAAGAAGCUUGAGAUUGCUAUGGUUAGCAAUCAUCUCUUGUACUUUAGAAACAUCCUCAUAAUAAGGCUGGGCAACAUGAACUCCUCAAUAGACAUAGAGGAUGGCAUCGAGAGAAUUAGAAUAAAACUGUCGGUUCAAAAUUCAAACUUAGGCUUAGUUGUACACCAUAUUUGAUAGCUUUAAUUUCUGCAAUAGUAAUUGGGAGAUGGCCCAAAUUGCAAAUAAACCCUUUCAGCUACUCGCCUUUCGAGUUUCGCACUAAACUACCAUAGGCUGAACAAUUCUCAGAUUUUGUUUCUAAUAACUAAAUUACUGAAAUUGCAUAAAAUCAGUUGUGAAUUUAAGGCAAA